GUUACUAGUAGCCUGGGAUGAAGUAACUCAGAGGUGAAGGGCGGAGAGCAAGAGGUCCUUUUAGGGUCCGGUGUGCCAUUGCCAGCCUCUUUGGUCGAGGACUGGCCCCAAAGGAGAACUGGGAAAGCUGGGCGGCAGCGGGAGGCGCUGGGAAGAGCGCGCCGGAGGGAGGUGCUGGGAAGGGCGGGCGGGGCUCGGGCCGCGGGCGGGGCCGCGGGCGGGGGCGGGCCGGGGCGGGGCGCCGGGCGGCCCAUUUCCUCCUCCGAGCAGGACUGGGGGAGACAAAGCGACGGCCCGUCGGCUUCUGGCCUCUGGAAUCUUCCGGCGCUCGCCCAGCUCGCCGCAGAGGAAGUUGAUUCCAUGGUGAUGAUAACUGUCUGGGGCUAUCUGGAGAAUGAUUGGAAAUGAGAACAUUCCUGAAAACAGGGAGGCCUUAUCUUCUGACAUUUCACUAAUAUUUUUCCUUCACACCUGUGGUUCUUGGAAGAUGCCAAAGGCCUUUGGUCCCUUUGCACAACCUGAAACAACUGCCCUCCCUCCUAGGACAGCGGAUCCUCAGUGAUGACUCUCCCCAUUGGGGAUUCCCUCCCGGGUGCUCCUCUUGCACCAGUGGAUUGCUUUAUGACUUUAUACUUUCUGUUGUAUUAUAAACUGUUUUUCUUUCUAGACUGUGAGCAUUUCCCUCAACUUUCUUUUUUUGAAAUUCUUCAAAUGUACAGAAAAGUCAAAAGUAAUACAAUGAGUACUUGAUUCUUCAGUUCAUCUAGUUUCAUCAGUUGCUAACAUUUUUCAGAUUUCCUCCAUUACUGUAUAUAAGUUUUUUAUCUGAGGCAUUUGAAAAUAAACUGCAGAUACCAAGUAUUUCACCCUUAUGUUUUUUAGCAUGUAACUCCUCUAAGAGUAAGGACAUUGCCUUACUUAACUAGCUAUAAUAUAUAAGAAAUUUUACUUCGAUAUAGUAACAUGAUCACUUUUAAAGAGUAGUCCAGAGCCAAUGUCUGCCGGCCCUGGGAACUUGUGAGAAAUGUGGACUCUUAAAUAUCACCCUAGACCUACGGAUGCAGAAUUUGCCUUUAACAAGAUUCCUAGAAGUCCUGAUCUCCUGUACAAACCAUAUUCAUGUUAAAUCCCACCAGUUGUCCCAGUGAUGUCCUUCUUAGUGUGUUUUUUUUAAUGCAAGAAUCAAUAAAAGAUCCUGUACUGAAUUUAGUUGUUGUAUUCCUUUGGUUUUGUCAGUCUUUUUAUUUUUUCUAUGACUGACACUUUUGGAGAGUUUAGGCCAAUUGUAGAGAAUGUCUACAGUUUGGAUUUGUCUCAUUGUUUCCACUUGUGGCAAGAACAGUACAUAUGUGAUGAUGUACCUUUCUCAGCAUUGAAAUGAUUGUCAGGUUGUUCCACCUGUGGUGAGGCUAAUAAGUUUAAACACUUGUGAUUAAGUGGCAUCUGCCAGAUAGCUCCAUUGUAAAGGCACAUUUUUUCUUUUAUACUUACUAAUUGAUUGCUGUGAUUGCUAUGAUGAUCUGGUAGUGGUUUCUGAUUAGUCUUUGUGUCCCUGACACCUAGCAGGAUCCUCAGAAUGUGUAAUUGGUCAGUCAUUGACAAAUGAAUGGUAACCAAAUCAUCAAAGGUAUAUGCUACAAGUUUUAGAGACAUUUCUUUUUUUUUUCCUCAGUUCUUUCUCACUCAGUACUUCCUCUAGUCAAGUUUGGGCAUCUUGUCUCCUGGCUCUCUAAGAAAAGUAUAGUCUUCUUAUUCCUGUGUAGCUUCUCAGCUGGGUGAGAAGUUUCUCUGCCUUUUAGUCCCAUUGUUGUGAAACAAAACCCUCUUUUCCCUUUUGUCUCUGUUUUCUUGAGCUUCCAGUCCAGAUGCUGGCUUCAUCUUUGUUUUUCAGACCGUCCAGUCUCUUAUGGGAAAAGGGACUUCCUGUGCAUCCAUAAUCAGUUAUCUGUUGUGAGGGCUUGGUGCAGUUUUCUCUUAAACACUUGCAUUGUUAAUGGUCUCAACCAUGUGGAAUGGAAGCUGAGUAAAUGGACAUAGCUAUCCGGCCCACAGUGCAGUUAUUCCAGCAGCUCUGGAGCUUGUUUCUGUUGUUCUCUUCAUUUGAUCUCUUACUUCUUCUCUAUGCUCCAGGCACACUGAUCACUUCUUUCUCUAAGUCCUGGGAGAUUCUGUCUUAUCUCUGUUACCUCUGUGUUCAAUGCUCCUCCCCCAAAUAAUUCACUUGAUUGGCUCUUUAUUGACUUUCAGCUCAAGUGUUAUCCAGAUAGAAAGGUCCUGGAAGGAUCCUACCUCAUUUCAUUACCAUUACCCUGCUUAAUUUUCUUUCUAGCACAGAUACUGUUUUGUUUACUUACUUAUGCUGUUACUACAGUGUAGUUUCAUGAAGACUUUUUUUUUUUUUUGUCUUGAAUAGUGUCUGUGCAGAGAAGGCAGUAAAAUAUUUGAUUAAGUGACUAGUGGACCAACCAUUGUUUUUUUAGGUUUACCUUUUGUCCUUUGCUUAGUGCUUUUGGUAAUCAUUGUGUUUCCUGUGUUACCCUAUUACCUUCAGUACUCUAGAGAAGAUAAGAAAAUGAGAGUGAUGGUAUGUUUUAUUAUGAUUAAAAAUAAUUAUAACCUUUAGCAGUAAUAAAAUCAUCAUAAUAUUACAACAUUGAAGUAAAACAAAGACCUAGCCAUGUCCUUUUUCUUCUAGGUCUGUAUAUCUGAGUGACAAUUUGUAUUGUG
RNAcentral lists this long non-coding RNA (2727 nucleotides) under Bos grunniens (domestic yak). Its description in RNAcentral is "lncRNA (ENSBGRG00000004350.1)". Lineage: Eukaryota; Metazoa; Chordata; Mammalia; Artiodactyla; Bovidae. The record is from RNAcentral.